GGGUUGUGAGGUUAAGCGACUAAGCGUACACGGUGGAUGCCCUGGCAGUCAGAGGCGAUGAAGGACGUGCUAAUCUGCGAAAAGCGUCGGUAAGGUGAUAUGAACCGUUAUAACCGGCGAUGUCCGAAUGGGGAAACCCAGUGUGAUUCGUCACACUAUCGUUAACUGAAUACAUAGGUUAACGAGGCGAACCGGGGGAACUGAAACAUCUAAGUACCCCGAGGAAAAGAAAUCAACCGAGAUUCCCCCAGUAGCGGCGAGCGAACGGGGAGCAGCCCAGAGUCUGAAUCAGCUUGUGUGUUAGUGGAACGGUCUGGAAAGUCCGACGGUACAGGGUGAUAGUCCCGUACACCAAAAUGCACAGGCUGUGAACUCGAAGAGUAGGGCGGGACACGUGGUAUCCUGUCUGAAUAUGGGGGGACCAUCCUCCAAGGCUAAAUACUCCUGACUGACCGAUAGUGAACCAGUACCGUGAGGGAAAGGCGAAAAGAACCCCGGCGAGGGGAGUGAAAAAGAACCUGAAACCGUGUACGUACAAGCAGUGGGAGCACCUUCGGGUGUGACUGCGUACCUUUUGUAUAAUGGGUCAGCGACUUAUAUUCUGUAGCAAGGUUAACCGUAUAGGGGAGCCGCAGGGAAACCGAGUCUUAACUGGGCGUUAAGUUGCAGGGUAUAGACCCGAAACCCGGUGAUCUAGCCAUGGGCAGGUUGAAGGUUGGGUAACACUAACUGGAGGACCGAACCGACUAAUGUUGAAAAAUUAGCGGAUGACUUGUGGCUGGGGGUGAAAGGCCAAUCAAACCGGGAGAUAGCUGGUUCUCCCCGAAAGCUAUUUAGGUAGCGCCUCGUGAAUUCAUCUUCGGGGGUAGAGCACUGUUUCGGCUAGGGGGUCAUCCCGACUUACCAACCCGAUGCAAACUACGAAUACCGAAGAAUGUUAUCACGGGAGACACACGGCGGGUGCUAACGUCCGUCGUGAAGAGGGAAACAACCCAGACCGCCAGCUAAGGUCCCAAAGUCAUGGUUAAGUGGGAAAGGAUGUGGGAAGGCACAGACAGCCAGGAUGUUGGCUUAGAAGCAGCCAUCAUUUAAAGAAAGCGUAAUAGCUCACUGGUCGAGUCGGCCUGCGCGGAAGAUGUAACGGGGCUAAACCAUGCACCGAAGCUGCGGCAGCGACACUAUGUGUUGUUGGGUAGGGGAGCGUUCUGUAAGCCUGCGAAGGUGACCUGUGAGGGUUGCUGGAGGUAUCAGAAGUGCGAAUGCUGACAUAAGUAACGAUAAAGCGGGUGAAAAGCCCGCUCGCCGGAAGACCAAGGGUUCCUGUCCAACGUUAAUCGGGGCAGGGUGAGUCGACCCCUAAGGCGAGGCCGAAAGGCGUAGUCGAUGGGAAACAGGUUAAUAUUCCUGUACUUGGUGUUACUGCGAAGGGGGGACGGAGAAGGCUAUGUUAGCCGGGCGACGGUUGUCCCGGUUUAAGCAUGUAGGCUGGUUGUCCAGGCAAAUCCGGAUAAUCAAGGCUGAGGUGUGAUGACGAGGCACUACGGUGCUGAAGUAACAAAUGCCCUGCUUCCAGGAAAAGCCUCUAAGCAUCAGGUAACAUCAAAUCGUACCCCAAACCGACACAGGUGGUCAGGUAGAGAAUACCAAGGCGCUUGAGAGAACUCGGGUGAAGGAACUAGGCAAAAUGGUGCCGUAACUUCGGGAGAAGGCACGCUGGUGUGUAGGUGAAGUCCCUGCGGAUGGAGCUGAGACCAGUCGAAGAUACCAGCUGGCUGCAACUGUUUAUUAAAAACACAGCACUGUGCAAACACGAAAGUGGACGUAUACGGUGUGACGCCUGCCCGGUGCCGGAAGGUUAAUUGAUGGGGUUAUCCGUAAGGAGAAGCUCUUGAUCGAAGCCCCGGUAAACGGCGGCCGUAACUAUAACGGUCCUAAGGUAGCGAAAUUCCUUGUCGGGUAAGUUCCGACCUGCACGAAUGGCGUAAUGAUGGCCAGGCUGUCUCCACCCGAGACUCAGUGAAAUUGAACUCGCUGUGAAGAUGCAGUGUACCCGCGGCAAGACGGAAAGACCCCGUGAACCUUUACUAUAGCUUGACACUGAACAUUGAGCCUUGAUGUGUAGGAUAGGUGGGAGGCUUUGAAGCGUGGACGCCAGUCUGCGUGGAGCCAACCUUGAAAUACCACCCUUUAAUGUUUGAUGUUCUAACGUUGGCCCCUUACCGGGGUUGCGGACAGUGUCUGGUGGGUAGUUUGACUGGGGCGGUCUCCUCCCAAAGCGUAACGGAGGAGCACGAAGGUUAGCUAAUCCUGGUCGGACAUCAGGAGGUUAGUGCAAUGGCAUAAGCUAGCUUGACUGCGAGCGUGACGGCGCGAGCAGGUGCGAAAGCAGGUCAUAGUGAUCCGGUGGUUCUGAAUGGAAGGGCCAUCGCUCAACGGAUAAAAGGUACUCCGGGGAUAACAGGCUGAUACCGCCCAAGAGUUCAUAUCGACGGCGGUGUUUGGCACCUCGAUGUCGGCUCAUCACAUCCUGGGGCUGAAGUAGGUCCCAAGGGUAUGGCUGUUCGCCAUUUAAAGUGGUACGCGAGCUGGGUUUAGAACGUCGUGAGACAGUUCGGUCCCUAUCUGCCGUGGGCGCUGGAGAAUUGAGGGGGGCUGCUCCUAGUACGAGAGGACCGGAGUGGACGCAUCACUGGUGUUCGGGUUGUCAUGCCAAUGGCACUGCCCGGUAGCUAAAUGCGGAAGAGAUAAGUGCUGAAAGCAUCUAAGCACGAAACUUGCCCCGAGAUGAGUUCUCCCUGAGACUUUAAGUCUCCUGAAGGAACGUUAAAGACGAUGACGUUGAUAGGCCGGGUGUGUAAGCGCAGCGAUGCGUUGAGCUAACCGGUACUAAUGAACCGUGAGGCUUAACCUUACAACGCCGAAG
RNAcentral lists this ribosomal RNA (2923 nucleotides) under Klebsiella pneumoniae. RNAcentral's name for it is "23S ribosomal RNA". It matches the Rfam family "Bacterial large subunit ribosomal RNA". The record is from RNAcentral. Lineage: Bacteria; Pseudomonadati; Pseudomonadota; Gammaproteobacteria; Enterobacterales; Enterobacteriaceae.